AGAGUUUGAUCAUGGCUCAGGACGAACGCUGGCGGCGUGCUUAACACAUGCAAGUCGAACGGAAAGGCCCUUCGGGGUACUCGAGUGGCGAACGGGUGAGUAACACGUGGGUGAUCUGCCCUGCACUUUGGGAUAAGCCUGGGAAACUGGGUCUAAUACCGAAUAUGACCAUGCGCCUCCUGGUGUGUGGUGGAAAGCUUUUGCGGUGUGGGAUGGGCCCGCGGCCUAUCAGCUUGUUGGUGGGGUAAUGGCCUACCAAGGCGACGACGGGUAGCCGGCCUGAGAGGGUGACCGGCCACACUGGGACUGAGAUACGGCCCAGACUCCUACGGGAGGCAGCAGUGGGGAAUAUUGCACAAUGGGCGCAAGCCUGAUGCAGCGACGCCGCGUGAGGGAUGACGGCCUUCGGGUUGUAAACCUCUUUCAGCACAGACGAAGCGCAAGUGACGGUAUGUGCAGAAGAAGGACCGGCCAACUACGUGCCAGCAGCCGCGGUAAUACGUAGGGUCCGAGCGUUGUCCGGAAUUACUGGGCGUAAAGAGCUCGUAGGUGGUUUGUCGCGUUGUUCGUGAAAACUCACAGCUUAACUGUGGGCGUGCGGGCGAUACGGGCAGACUUGAGUACUGCAGGGGAGACUGGAAUUCCUGGUGUAGCGGUGGAAUGCGCAGAUAUCAGGAGGAACACCGGUGGCGAAGGCGGGUCUCUGGGCAGUAACUGACGCUGAGGAGCGAAAGCGUGGGGAGCGAACAGGAUUAGAUACCCCGGUAGUCC
Molecule: ribosomal RNA, 771 nt
Filed under: uncultured bacterium
Lineage: Bacteria
Description: bacterial SSU rRNA
Rfam family: Bacterial small subunit ribosomal RNA
Source: RNAcentral